Molecule: non-coding RNA, 21 nt
Filed under: Caenorhabditis elegans
Lineage: Eukaryota; Metazoa; Nematoda; Chromadorea; Rhabditida; Rhabditidae
Source: RNAcentral
UUCAUGCUGAAUUCUAAUAAA